GACGAACGCUGGCGGCGUGCUUAACACAUGCAAGUCGAGCGGUAAGGCCCUUCGGGGUACGACGAGCGGCGAACGGGUGAGUAACACGUGGGUGACCUGCCUCUAGCUCUGGGAUAAGCCUGGGAAACUGGGUCUAAUACCGGAUAUGACUCCACGGCGCAUGUUGUGGGUGGAAAGCCUUGUGUGGCUAGAGAUGGGCCCGCGGCCUAUCAGCUUGUUGGUGGGGUGAUGGCCUACCAAGGCGACGACGGGUAGCCGGCCUGAGAGGGCGACCGGCCACACUGGGACUGAGACACGGCCCAGACUCUACGGGGGCAGCAGUGGGGAAUCUUGCGCAAUGGGCGAAAGCCUGACGCAGCGACGCCGCGUGAGGGAUGACGGCCU
RNAcentral lists this ribosomal RNA (384 nucleotides) under uncultured bacterium. Its description in RNAcentral is "bacterial SSU rRNA". It matches the Rfam family "Bacterial small subunit ribosomal RNA", at positions 28 to 417 of the family's 1533-position model. The record is from RNAcentral.